RNAcentral lists this Y RNA (96 nucleotides) under Microcebus murinus (gray mouse lemur). RNAcentral describes it as "Y RNA (ENSMICG00000045416.1)". It matches the Rfam family "Y RNA". From Rfam's summary of the family: Y RNAs are components of the Ro ribonucleoprotein particle (Ro RNP), in association with Ro60 and La proteins. The Y RNAs and Ro60 and La proteins are well conserved, but the function of the Ro RNP is not known. The record is from Rfam by way of RNAcentral. Lineage: Eukaryota; Metazoa; Chordata; Mammalia; Primates; Cheirogaleidae.
GGCUGGUCUGAUGGUAGUGGGUUAUCAGACCUUAUUAAUAUUAGUGUCACUAAAGUUGGUAUUCAACCCCCCACUGCUAAAUUUGACUGGCUUAAA